GACAGAGGUGCCAAGCGUUAGGCGGAAUCACUGGGCUUAAAGCGUGUGUAGGCGGGGUUGUAAGUACCUUGUGAAAUCCCUCAGCUUAACUGGGGAACUGCGUGUGAUACUGGAUGGCUUGGAUUUGGGAGAGGGAUGCGGAAUUCCAGGUGUAGCGGUGAAAUGCGUAGAUAUCUGGAGGAACACCGGUGGCGAAGGCGGCAUCCUGGACCAAUAUUGACGCUGAGGAGCGAAAGCCAGGGGAGCAAACGGG
RNAcentral lists this ribosomal RNA (253 nucleotides) under uncultured bacterium. RNAcentral's name for it is "partial 16S ribosomal RNA". It matches the Rfam family "Bacterial small subunit ribosomal RNA", at positions 524 to 776 of the family's 1533-position model. The record is from RNAcentral.